Molecule: non-coding RNA, 266 nt
Organism: Camelus ferus (Wild Bactrian camel)
Lineage: Eukaryota; Metazoa; Chordata; Mammalia; Artiodactyla; Camelidae
Source: Rfam
GAGUGAGAGGUAAAGAGCUACAGAGAUUUGACAGGCGGGUGUCCCCUUCCUCCCUCACUGCUCCAGGUGCGUCCCUCCUGAAGCUGCGCGCUUGGUCGAAGAAGAUGACCAUCCCCGAUAGAGGAAGACCGUUCUUCUCGGUCAAGGGCGUACGAGUAGCUGCGCUCCCCAAACAAGCUCCCAAGAGCUACAGAGACUUCUGAAGGAAGGCCAUCGCAGUUAGUGGCUCACGGGUACGUGUGAGACAUCUUAUCUGGUUCUUACAC